GCGGACGUAGCUCAGUUGGUAGAGCGCCAGCUUCCCAAGCUGGAGGUCGCGGGUUCGAAACCCGUCGUCCGCUC
RNAcentral lists this transfer RNA (74 nucleotides) under Rubrobacter xylanophilus. RNAcentral's name for it is "tRNA-Gly". It matches the Rfam family "tRNA". From Rfam's summary of the family: Transfer RNA (tRNA) molecules are approximately 80 nucleotides in length. Their secondary structure includes four short double-helical elements and three loops (D, anti-codon, and T loops). Further hydrogen bonds mediate the characteristic L-shaped molecular structure. tRNAs have two regions of fundamental functional importance: the anti-codon, which is responsible for specific mRNA codon recognition, and the 3' end, to which the tRNAs corresponding amino acid is attached (by aminoacyl-tRNA synthetases). tRNAs cope with the degeneracy of the genetic code in two manners: having more than one tRNA (with a specific anti-codon) for a particular amino acid; and 'wobble' base-pairing, i.e. permitting non-standard base-pairing at the 3rd anti-codon position. The record is from RNAcentral. Lineage: Bacteria; Bacillati; Actinomycetota; Rubrobacteria; Rubrobacterales; Rubrobacteraceae.